GGGGCUAUAGCAUAACUGGAAAUGCGCUGCAUUCAUGCUGGAGUUGAUUAAUGUUCGAAUCAUUAUGGCCUUA
This 73-nucleotide transfer RNA is filed under the name Usnea subgracilis. RNAcentral describes it as "tRNA-Met". It matches the Rfam family "tRNA". From Rfam's summary of the family: Transfer RNA (tRNA) molecules are approximately 80 nucleotides in length. Their secondary structure includes four short double-helical elements and three loops (D, anti-codon, and T loops). Further hydrogen bonds mediate the characteristic L-shaped molecular structure. tRNAs have two regions of fundamental functional importance: the anti-codon, which is responsible for specific mRNA codon recognition, and the 3' end, to which the tRNAs corresponding amino acid is attached (by aminoacyl-tRNA synthetases). tRNAs cope with the degeneracy of the genetic code in two manners: having more than one tRNA (with a specific anti-codon) for a particular amino acid; and 'wobble' base-pairing, i.e. permitting non-standard base-pairing at the 3rd anti-codon position. Lineage: Eukaryota; Fungi; Ascomycota; Lecanoromycetes; Lecanorales; Parmeliaceae. The record is from RNAcentral.